ACUAUAGGGAAUUUAUCAAUUGACAUCGUAGUUUACAAAAUCAAUUGUGAAAUUAUAUAUUUACGCAAUGAAAUAAACGCGUCACAACAUUUAUGUCGUAGUAAAUGCAUUUAUCUACUUAAUACAGCUGGAAAAUACUAUAUUGCGUAUCUAUUACUUAAGUGACAAAAGUAUUGAAAAUGAAUUAAAGUACAUGUACAUUUAAAUAACUGUUGGGGGUAUGGACAUGUCUUUGAUAUAUGAACGUGACAGCUGUUCAGAGAUUUUUUGCUGUAAAAAUGUGCAUUAUAAUUUUUUGCACGAGGUUCUGUUGUGUGCUGUCAAACCAGACAUGUAUGCCAUGUGAUUUAAUGGAUGUACCGAUGACCAAAAUUUUUGAAUACGCAAGAAUAUGUGCUACUUGUGGCGAUUUUUAUGGCGAUGAUAUUGAAAAUUGUUGUUUUUGUCAUAAAAGAAUCAGAGAUUUAUGUAGAAGUGCUUGUGGUGGAUGAAAUAGAAAUAUCACUUUUUAUUGGGUUGAUCAUCAGCUUAAAUGAAGCUUCAUUGCAAGAUGGGAUAUGGUAGCAAGGAAGACAAUAAAUACAAAAGACAAUGUGCGACACACAAUUAUCGAUGACGUGAAGGGAAUAUGGACUAGUUUGAACUAGGACGGAACAAAGAUAACAUUGAAUUAAGCGAAGGAAAAGCAUAUGACACUUUGAUAAUAAGUACUGCAUAUCAUUAAUUAUUUUUAUUUAUACGUUUGUAGAAGUAAAGCUUGAAUACUAAGUUUUUCUUUGUUGGUUUCUUUUCUUUGUAAGAGGUUUAUUUACCAAUUGUUUAUAACAGAUAAUAAUAGUUUUGUUUUAAUCAAAUGACCAACUAAAAAGGAACAAACCAGUGAGAGUAAUGAGACGCAGAAAACCUCACAUUGAACAAAUAUAUUUUGCAGUAUCAUACAAAUAAAACUUACCUAUAUAAAAGAGAACCCUGACAAAUAUCACGUAUUCCUUUGCCAAUUUUUAUCGUACCGCUGACAAUUUACAUCAUUAGUUUGAUAUUGAAUGUCAUUUCGGCAUUGUUGGUUUUUAAUGCUCUCCAACUUCGUAAUGGAAUUGGUUAUCGAACUGACUUGAUAUGAGCACCACUGUUGCAUCUUAUGUAGACGAAACUCUCGUCUGGCGUACCAAAUUAUAAGCCUUUAAAAUGAAAUAUAUGAAGAACCCCCUGAAAAAAAAAAAAAAAAAAAAAAACAA
Molecule: long non-coding RNA, 1235 nt
Organism: Mytilus californianus (California mussel)
Lineage: Eukaryota; Metazoa; Mollusca; Bivalvia; Mytilida; Mytilidae
Exons: 2
Source: RefSeq, a predicted model, not a curated record